AUAUAAUUGUUUAUAUCAAAAAAUAAUAAUUAUUUUUUUUAAUUAUUGUAUUGCGCCUUCUAAUAAUUAAAUCAAUAAUUUUAUUUGGAAAUAUAAAAUGUGAACUAUUUUAUUGAUUUAAGAUUUUUAUGCCAAUAACACAUGUUCUAUAUACCUUCAGUUUCUUAGAAGCAUAUUUCCUAUGCUUGUGCUUGUAUUUUAGUAGUCAAUUGUUCUUUUGUUUUUGAGGAUUGGGUGCUUGUAGAUAAUUUGUGAUACAACUUGGUCAAAUCAGAGCCACCAAAUCCAACAAAGCUAGAUUUUAAUAGUCCAAGCGCCUCUCAGUACACUUCUAUGUCGGUAUAUUUUGAGUUUUUACACAGAUAAUAAUUAGGUCUGUACCUGUAUUUUGCUUUAUAUAUAUCUAACUAUAGCCUAAGAGAAAGAGAGAGAGAGAUAGCGGUAUUUCUGGGGGAAGAAAUUUGCUUUGCUUUGUUCUUGGAAUAAGUGGUAGUUUCAAUCAGAGAAUAUCUGGGUUCUGAUUCCAAACCCUAAAAACGGACGGAUGGUCCGAUGAAGACUCCGACGACCCGACCCAGCCCCUGGAAGUGGAAGUGGAUUCCACGCCGAUCGUCAUGGUGUCUCUGCCAGUGACACCCGAGGAGAAGGAGAAGAAAGACGAUAGUACCCCUCAGGACCUGUUCCAGACCCCAACCAAGGGUUCCCUACUCGCCAGCUCGGAAGAACAGCAGCCACCGGUGGCCGCCGAUGAUCCGGUGGCCACCGAUGAUCCGGCGGUCGACGGACCACGCGCUCCUGAGCCCAAUUGUACGGACGGCGAUGAGGCUGUCGAUUUGGGGAAGGACUCUGAUCUAGAGGACCUGUUCCAGACCCCAACCGCGGGUUCCCUACUCGCCAGCUCGGAAGAACAGCAGCCACUAGUGGCCGCCGAUGAUCCGGCGGUCGACGGACCACGCGCUCCCGAGCCCAAUUGUACGGACGGUGAUGAGCCCAAACCGUAAACUGUAUUGUGGUUUCUGGUUAGCCCCAUCUUGCAGCCUGUCUUCUGACUCCUUUUUAGCUGCUUUGUAAAAGCGCACAAUUUUAUUCACUAAUUCUAGAUUACUUUUGCUGUCGUCUAUAAACUGAUUUUCUAUGGUUUUGAUUUGUUUGGAUAUGUGGAGGAAGAGAUUUGUAAAGCUUUUGGAAUGUGGUGGUGAAAAAAGAGAGUAUGAAACAUUCAUGUUGGUUUUUUUUCCUACAAAAUAAUGUGUGGUUUGAAUUUGGUUGCUCAUCUCCGCCAGUCUUGUGAACUUAGACUUGUGAAGAUGUACUGAAAAUACUGAGAAGAAGACGUAGAAAAUGACACUAUUGCCAGAAUGGAAAUUUGGAAUGGAAGGUUUAGGAAAGAUAUUUACAAGAUUUUUAUGUGUGAGGCUUGAUUGUGCUAUAUGAAGGAAGAUAAAACCUUUUUAACGCUCGGAAAGGUAUAUAGAGUGGGCCCUUUUUUAUGUUUUUGUUGUUUUCAUCAACAUGAUACACUUGUACUUUCCAAAAGCUUGAAUUUUUGUCAGAUUUUUUUUUUUUGAAUUUUUGUCAGAUUUAUAUUUAGAGUUUCUUUAAAUAAAAUCUCGAACACGUUUCCUUUAUAAUGGAAGGAUUUCAAAAGGAGGUAAUUUUUCAGUUCGCAGUCUCAACCUCCCUCGCUCUCUAACGUGGAUGGAAAACAAGAGUCUGCAACAAACUUUUUUUUUUUUAAUUUAUAUGUUAUUAAGCCAUACGGUUUAUUGGCUCCCAUCAAAGGGUCAUAUCAUUAAAUCUUCUACGGUCGAACAGAUUUGAAUCCAAGAACACUGAAAAAGUAUGCUGGGCAUGGAUGCCAGAGAUGAUUCACGUGACCAGUUAAAUCUAACUAAAAGACACAAUCAGGGAGCUGUUCAAAGCGAGCAAACUAAAAGACACAAUCAGGGAGCUGUUCAAAGCGAGCAAGUAUGUUUUGUAUCCAGUUUUUGUUUUUGUGAGGGGAUUGAGAUCCCACGGCAAUAGUUUUAAUCUUAACUAUUUAUUUAAUUCAAUGGAUAGAAAAUUGACAUCUUAAAAAUCAUUAUGAAAUUUGGAUUGACUGUAUAGAUGGGUAUUUUGCUAGUGGAUAGUAUAUUUUGUUUCUUGUAAUUCAUUUUAAAGAUAUAAACUGUGGCUCAUUUGGUUUUUUGUGGAAAAUAUUUGCAUUUUUGGUUGCUGGAAUUGUUACCAAUCACACCCAACAAGUUUAGCCCAAAUUUUAAAGUUUAUAUGUUUAGGCCUUCCAAAAUAGUCUGGUGAUGCAAUUUUGGUUUUAAAGAAUGAUUGUAAUUUUGGUGAUGCUCUUUUUCUUUUAAUAAAAAAUUGUCCAAUAUUUCUAAUAUCAUAACAUUCUUAUCAAAAAAUAUUGAAUUAAAAAAAAAAAAGUUAAAGUGCGUCAGGAUAUAUAUAUAUAUAUAUGUAUGUAUGUAUGUAUGUAUAUGCAUAAUUAAUUUUUUUGUUGUAAAUAUCAUAACGUUCUUUUAAAAAAGAAACUGAAUUAAAAAAGAAGUUAAACGUGUGUCUUGCCAUUUACAUUUUUUGAAUAAAAUUAAAAUUAAAAAAUAUUUAAAAACAAAAAAAAAAAAAUUCUGUAUGGGUUACAGUAUUGCUACCUGCGUUUUGUGGGGGAAAAAAUAUUAAAAAAAUAAAAAUAAAAAAUAAAAAACGAUACUGUAUUGUCACUUUUGAGUCACUGAUGAAAUCACUGCUGUUACUAUGAGGAAGUAACACUUCUUAAAUUAAAAAAAAAAAAAAAAAAAAAAAA
Long non-coding RNA from Quercus robur (English oak), 2806 nucleotides. RefSeq lists it as uncharacterized. The transcript has 3 exons. The record is from RefSeq and is a predicted model, not a curated record. NCBI's taxonomy places the organism in Eukaryota, Viridiplantae, Streptophyta, Magnoliopsida, Fagales, Fagaceae.